AGAGUUUGAUCCUGGCUCAGAAUGAACGCUGGCGGCGUGCUUAACACAUGCAAGUCGUACGAGAACGCUUCAGCUUGCUGAAGCUAGUAAAGUGGCGUACGGGUGAGUAACGCGUGGGUAAUCUACCUUCGAAUUGGGGAUAACGUUGCGAAAGUGACGCUAAUACCGGAUAAUAUCAUAGAGACCUUGGUUUUUAUGAUCAAAGAUGGCCUCUCCUUGGAAGCUAUUGUUUGGAGAUGAGCCCGCGUCCCAUUAGCUUGUUGGUGGGGUAAUGGCCUACCAAGGCUACGAUGGGUAGCUGGUCUGAGAGGAUGAUCAGCCACACUGGAACUGACACACGGUCCAGACUCCUACGGGAGGCAGCAGUGAGGAAUUUUGCGCAAUGGGGGAAACCCUGACGCAGCAACGCCGCGUGAGUGAUGAAGGCUUUCGGGUCGUAAAGCUCUGUCAAGUGGGAAGAACUCCCGCGAGGUUAAUACCCUCAUGGUUUGACGGUACCACUGAAGGAAGCACCGGCUAACUCCGUGCCAGCAGCCGCGGUAAUACGGGGGGUGCAAGCGUUAUUCGGAUUUACUGGGCGUAAAGCGCGCGUAGGCGGCCGUUUAAGUCAGAUGUGAAAGCCCGGGGCUCAACCCCGGAAGUGCAUUUGAUACUAUUCGGCUUGAGUAUGGGAGAGGGAAGUGGAAUUCCUGGUGUAGAG
This 700-nucleotide ribosomal RNA is filed under the name uncultured bacterium. RNAcentral describes it as "bacterial SSU rRNA". It matches the Rfam family "Bacterial small subunit ribosomal RNA", at positions 8 to 680 of the family's 1533-position model. The record is from RNAcentral.